AGGUUUUGGAAAGAGAAAGAGGGAGAGACGGUGACUGUGUAUGUUAAUAGACCCUUACUAAUAUACAAGAAAUUUACACAUAAGGAAAGAGAAAUAUUGAAAUGCAAGACCAGGUCAAAGCCACUAAACAUGACAGUUGAGAAAUUCUUUUUCUUUUUCUUUUUUUUUCCAACAUGAUUGAGUUGUGGAUUGAGUCUACCAUGUUCUCCAAUUAGUUGUUUUUUCCAUAUUCUCCAUUUAAGUAGUGGUCUUUCCUAAUUCUUUAAUUGUAGGAGGAGGGUGUUCCUCCAUGUUGAGCCCAUGAUUUUCAUGAUUUUCAGCUUUCUUAUUUGUAGAAAGAGAUUAUCUCUUUCCUUUAGUAUUUAAGUUCAGCAAAUCAAUAAAGGAAACAUGUUUAAAAUUGCCAAAAGUUGUUGAGUACUAAAACUCAAGAGAUUUUCAAGUUCUCUCUAAGAGCUUGUACAACCUCCAUCGAAGGUCGAAAAAAGAAAACAUGAUUGCACCCUCAUCCAUUAACUCUAUUUUUUCCACUCAAUUGUCCCAUAAUCAGAUCCUAUUCUAGGGACCAUAACAGUGUACAAGAGGAAGACACGGACAAUCUAAGAGCUUGUACAACCUCCAUCGAAGGUUGAAGAAAGAAAACAUGAUUCCACCCUCAUCCAUUAACUCUAUUUUUUCCACUCAAUUGUCCCGUAAUCAGAUCCUAUUCUAGGGACCAUAACAGUGUACAAGAGGAAGACACGGACAAUUUAGUUCAAGAAAUAUUAUUGUUUUAAUUUUGUAGAAUUCAUUUGAAAUUUUACCUCUUUUUAUAGAGUUUGAUUUUAGUUAUAACCAAUUACAUAGAAUCAAGUUCCUAUAAUAGAAAUCUAAAUUUAUUUUUCAAACCAAAUAUGAAAAUUGUGAAAUUCACCACAAAAUUUUCCAAAAUUCAUUUGAUCCAAACAUAGCUUAGGAAAAAGUAGGUAAUUCACAGGAAAGUAGAUCAAUAACAAGUAAAUUUAGAAUCAUAAAGAAUGUUUGUAG
Molecule: long non-coding RNA, 1026 nt
Filed under: Manihot esculenta (cassava)
Lineage: Eukaryota; Viridiplantae; Streptophyta; Magnoliopsida; Malpighiales; Euphorbiaceae
Description: long non-coding RNA (MESC_LNC000735)
Source: RNAcentral